RNAcentral lists this transfer RNA (67 nucleotides) under Marmota monax (woodchuck). Its description in RNAcentral is "tRNA.Ala". The record is from RNAcentral. Lineage: Eukaryota; Metazoa; Chordata; Mammalia; Rodentia; Sciuridae.
GGUUAUGGCUCAGUGGUAGAGCACUUGCCUAGCAUGUGUGAAGCACUGGGUUCGAUCCUCAGCACCA